Molecule: ribosomal RNA, 254 nt
Filed under: uncultured bacterium
Lineage: Bacteria
Description: partial 16S ribosomal RNA
Rfam family: Bacterial small subunit ribosomal RNA
Source: RNAcentral
UACGUAGGGCGCAAGCGUUGUCCGGAAUUAUUGGGCGUAAAGAGCUCGUAGGCGGUUUGUCGCGUCUGGUGUGAAAACCUGGGGCUCAACCCCGGGCCUGCAGCCGAUACGGGCAAACUAGAAUUCGGUAGGGGAGACUGGAAUUCCUGGUGUAGCGGUGAAAUGCGUAGAUAUCGAGAGGAACACCUGCGGCGAAGGCGGGUUGCUGGGCUGACACUGACGCUGAUUGUGCGAAAGCUAGGGGAGCGAACGGG